Molecule: ribosomal RNA, 492 nt
Filed under: uncultured bacterium
Lineage: Bacteria
Description: partial 16S ribosomal RNA
Rfam family: Bacterial small subunit ribosomal RNA
Source: RNAcentral
AGUGAACGCUGGCGGUAGGCCUAACACAUGCAAGUCGAGCGGCAGCACAGUAAGAGCUUGCUCUUACGGGUGGCGAGUGGCGGACGGGUGAGGAAUACAUCGGAAUCUACUUUUUCGUGGGGGAUAACGUAGGGAAACUUACGCUAAUACCGCAUACGACCUACGGGUGAAAGUAGGGGAUCUUCGGACCUUGCGCGAUUGAAUGAGCCGAUGUCGGAUUAGCUAGUUGGCGGGGUAAAGGCCCACCAAGGCGACGAUCCGUAGCUGGUCUGAGAGGAUGAUCAGCCACACUGGAACUGAGACACGGUCCAGACUCCUACGGGAGGCAGCAGUGGGGAAUAUUGGACAAUGGGCGCAAGCCUGAUCCAGCCAUACCGCGUGGGUGAAGAAGGCCUUCGGGUUGUAAAGCCCUUUUGUUGGGAAAGAAAAGCAGUAGGUGAAUACCCCGCUGUUCUGACGGUACCCAAAGAAUAAGCACCGGCUAACUUCGUG